GGACCCGACUGCUAUCCGAGUGAGAUUAAGCCAUGCAAGUCGAAUGGGAUACCAAAAAUUCCCAUGGCGGACUGCUCAGUAAUACGUGAUCAACUUACCCUGUGGAGGGGAAUACUCUCGGGAAACUGAGUCUAAUCCCCCAUAGUUGAGAAUUCCUGGAAUGGUUUUUCAAUCAAAGAGGCAUCCAAAUGGGGAUGUUAUCGCCACAGGAUAGGAUCACGCCCGAGUAUGGCUGUUGGUGAGGUAACGGCUCACCAAACCUGUAAUCGGUAAGGGUCGUGAGAGCGGGAGCCCUGAGAUGGGCAAAGAGACAAGUGCCUACGUCUUACGAGAUG
This 335-nucleotide ribosomal RNA is filed under the name uncultured archaeon. Its description in RNAcentral is "bacterial SSU rRNA". It matches the Rfam family "Archaeal small subunit ribosomal RNA", at positions 19 to 332 of the family's 1478-position model. The record is from RNAcentral.